MicroRNA precursor from Theobroma cacao (cacao), 90 nucleotides. It matches the Rfam family "MIR164 microRNA precursor family". NCBI's taxonomy places the organism in Eukaryota, Viridiplantae, Streptophyta, Magnoliopsida, Malvales, Malvaceae. The record is from Rfam.
UGGAGAAGGGGAGCACGUGCAGAACGCGAGACAUGGCAUUUGAGAAGCCAAAAUGGAUUGGCAAUUUUGCACGUGCCCUGCUUCUCCAAC